GGUCCAUUUCCGCAAUCAAAAAACUCUAUUGUCAAGAAAUCCUAAGGAUCUG
RNAcentral lists this non-coding RNA (52 nucleotides) under Cavenderia fasciculata. The record is from Rfam by way of RNAcentral. Lineage: Eukaryota; Evosea; Eumycetozoa; Acytosteliales; Cavenderiaceae.